Molecule: long non-coding RNA, 599 nt
Filed under: Felis catus (domestic cat)
Lineage: Eukaryota; Metazoa; Chordata; Mammalia; Carnivora; Felidae
Description: lncRNA (ENSFCAG00000049707.1)
Source: RNAcentral
AAACAAACAAAAUGAAUUUGAGAGGUUAUAAGUGUUUGCAAGUGUCACCGUGGAGACCAGAGAAUGGAUUGUCACCAUGGAGACUUGCAUAAACACUGCCUGUAAUGAUUUCCAUGGGGAAUGAGAUAUAGAAGAGAUUUGGGAAGGAGGAUAUAUAAAUGGAGCUGGCAGAAAAUGUCACUACAAAGUGAAGCAAACCUGGCUGAGAGUCUCAAGAUGGCAGACAGGACAGUGAUGGGGUCCUCAACAGCUCCAGCAGCAGUGGGGAUAAAGAGGACAUACAACGUGAAGGCUGAUUGGAGGAGGUUUCCAACUCACUCAAGUCAAACAUCAGGAGAGGAAGCAGCCCCUGAGCUCCCUUCCUCCCCAGCCAGCCCACCCUUGCAUCAGAGCCAGAAGUCCCAUAGUGCUGCCGGAAUAUCUUUGCCAGCCCUUACCCUUAUCCCACGGUCAUGUAGUGGUGGAUUUAUUUGUCUUUCCCCCUAGACCGUGAGGUCCUUGGUACCUCCACAGUCUGACACAUUGCAGUCAUCCUGUUACUGAGUAAAGGAAUGAGGUACUUAAAAUAUGUACAAAUAAAAAUGUAGCACAAGUUGCCA